CAGCAAAAGCAUCACACAGACAGACCAACCCUUUGUCUCCCCCGCUCCCCCCCCCCCCCCCCCCCCCGCUUCCAGAUUUGAAAGUACCUUGUUCUCUCAUUGGUCAUGUUAGGUCAGGUGCCAGCUCGGUUACCUUAGCUUCUUAUCCCUUUACAGGUGAAAGGGUUUUGCCUCUGGCCAGGAGGGAUUUUAUAUCACUGUAUACAGAAAGGUGGUUACCCUUUCCUUUAUAUUUAUGACACAGGCUAAUAUGGCUACCCCUGAUACUUGACCUCUUAUCCAUGCAUUCUAGUAGAUUUCCUGAGCAUGCCCCUUAUUUUCUUGUAUGAUUUUGUUGACUUGGAUCACAGUGUAUCAUUCCUGAACUGCUGUCUUCCAGCUACCAGUAGUGUACGUCUUGCAUUUUGUAUUAUGUUUUACGUUGUAAGAACACUUGAAUUUAGAUAAGCACAAGUUACUUUACUAAGUUAAAGGGACACUGUCAGCUUGAAUUUAUGAGAUAGGGGCUCCAGGCAGGGGUUGUGGGAAGAGGAGACGCCCUUCUGGUUUCAAACCUCAGAAACAGUAGCAGUUCUGCCAUCCUGUUACUAGUAAACAUCCUCUUUCAGGCCCUAGGGCUGAGUGAACAUGAGCUCUCUGAGUGGAGUGCUAAGGUGAAGUCACGCUAGUGCGGGACAUGGGGUGGUAUAUUUGCAGUGUUAUAGCUAUGUAGCUCUGCUAGUCUUAGAAUAUUAGAGAGGUGUGGGUGAAGGAAUAUCUUUUCUUGGUACAACUUCUGUUGGUGAAAGACCAUUCUUUUUCAGGGAAAGGUAGAGUGUCACAACUAAAUACAAGGGUGGAACAGAUCUGAAGUUAAUGUAUGUUGCAAGAGACCAUUCAGGGCGAAGUGGAGUAGAUAAGCUGCUGGCAAUCAACAUCACAGUGCAAGUGGGUAAAUGCACAAAGAUAGGAACAACUUAAACUUAAACUAUAACCAGUUACAGUAACAUUAGGUGUCACAAGUAACUAGUAAUAGAAGAAUUAGUGUGUCCUUCAAACAAGUCUCUCUCUCAAAAAAAAAAAAAAAAAAAUUGGCAGCCCUGUUGUUUCUGUA
Long non-coding RNA from Chelonia mydas (Green sea turtle), 1093 nucleotides. RefSeq lists it as uncharacterized. The record is from RefSeq and is a predicted model, not a curated record. Lineage: Eukaryota; Metazoa; Chordata; Testudines; Cheloniidae. The transcript has 2 exons.